GCCUAGGCAGAGGAAAAGGGGGUCGAGGAACAGCAAGAUGCCAUAAAAACAAGGGAAAACAGGGGACACUACAGCUGAGGGAGGGUGAGUGUCAAAACAAACUCCACAGAGCAACAAAAGGCAGGGGGAAAAUAAGUGUUUGUUUUUCUCCCUGUUUGCUUUUUAAUGAAAGGAGGCAGGCAAGCGUUUGAGGGUUGUUAGCAUUUCUUGCUGACCUGCAGCUGGUGCAUUUUUCACCCACUUCUGUCAGAAUUUAUUUGAGUUUGGUACUAAACGCUGAUCAGACUUUGCCCCUUGCUUUACUUAGGCUUGGAAUUGCUUAUACAGCAAACACUCUCUGCUAGGGUUCUCAUUAAUCCACUUCUUUGUUGAGGUUUCCUAGAGGAAUUCCUAUUUGGUAAACCAAACAGAAUUAAAAGGAAUGCAUCUGCACCGGGAAUAUCCAUCUUGGGUCUCUGGGACCUAUUGUCCCAGCUAAAUUAGACUAGGAGGCCUCUUGUGUUUGCCCGGAGCCAUGAUUCCCACUAGCACUUGAUAAACCAUUAAUAGGCUGCGUUAGUCGGGAGGUUUUGGCAGAUUUGGGGCAUCCCUGGCAGCGAGGGAUGCGGGAUGCGGAAUGCGCUGCGGCGGCGGCGCGCUCCUUGCCACUAGGUGGCACUUCCCAUCCUACAAAGUACAGUAAUUAGCGCACGCCUGGUGCCGCUAAUGAACCUCGCCCGCUCUGUUUAAUCCGCGACAGGGCACGGAACCUGAUGCACAGUGUAUCUUCUUAAAGGCACGACUGACUGUAUUCAUUAGUUCAGAGGAGGCUGCUCCCUCAGCUACUGCAAAGGAACCAUCAAAGUCUUAACUUCAAUGUUUCUCAUUUCUCAAGAAGCCAAAGUCGUCUGAAGAGAGCAGUGGUGUCAGCAAUCAUCAGAGUCCAAUCUGUACCUGGCCCCAAGACAGAUCCAUAGAAACCGGAGAAAAAUAUUCAGGAUAUAGCUGAAUAGAACAAUUCCUGAGACAUCCCUGCCUGGCAUUUCCCUAAGCUCAGUGUGCUGACCAAGUCCAGUCGCGGCUGAGGUCAUCAGACAGACAAUGACAACAACAAGAAGAUUAAUAAUAACAAUCAUCUUGUUCAAUUUCACAGUUAAUGAAGAAUAUUUUCAAUGCAGCAACCACAAAGUUAAUGUUCAACCAGGGAAUCAAAUGUUCCUUACUUGGCUUCUACCUCUGGCUGGAGGCCAAUCUGCAACUGCACCUGCAUCUAUCAUCACCUCUGCACUGUAGGGCAAGCCUGGAAUUCCCUCAAUAAAACACAACUAAAAGCAAAACUUCAAAACCCAGGGUGAUUCAAAAUAUUGUCCUCAGCUCCUGCGAGCAAUGCUCUUCAUUCUCUGGGACUAGAAACCAUCAAAUGUGGGAUGAUUUUGUUUUAUGCUUGUACAAGUUGUGUGGACUUUUUUAGUUCACAUAUACUUCGAAUCCUCCAGGUGCAGGAAAGUCAACUUGCAAUCCCCCAAAUAUCCUAUAACUUGACACACUGCUUGCAGCAGCAGCAAACAAACCUUCUAUAUUGAGAAGAUUUAUUUCUUAAUGGCUUAGCUUUUAAUAUCAGAUAUGAUUUCCAAUAACUGGUCUAGAUCAGGUUUCAACAUUUCUAUUCAUCCACUGCAUUUAUUUAGUCCUACAAAAAAUAAACUUUUUUAGGGACUUACAACAUCCUUUGAGUUGCAAAUUCCCAAUUAACUUCAGCUGGCAUUGGUGCAGGUCAUAAUGUCGAGAGAACAUUCUGGUUUAGCAAUAUAAAUACAGCCUUAGAUCUUUCCAUAUGAUCAAACAUGCUUACAGAUGCUUACUAACAAAGAUGUACUUAGAAAUGUAAUAAUAGAUGUCACUUACAAGGAAAAAGCCUAAACCAUGUUUGUUUUAGACAAGUGGCACACAUUUCUGUGGCUCAUUUCCACUUAAACUCCUUCCUGCUUAAAUAAACUAGACCACAUGCACUUCGAGGAACACACCAGCACCGCCUUCACUGGGGAAAAAACACAAACCUCUUAAUCACAGCUACAAAAGUACAGAGUAAAGGAAAAACUUAGUUUGUUUAGGAAUUUUGUCAAGGCCUUUAAUAAAUCCAGUGCGUUGCAAAUCUAUUGGCAAAUGCUGGGUGACAUUUCUCAUGGUCAUUAAGCACUAUUUAUCACACAUACAUUUAUAUAACACCAGAACUUGCUAAACUAUGUCAUAAUCCUGCUCCAGGCUGUUAGAUCAUGGUGGUGCUGGGUCUCCCUAACCCUUUCCUGCCCCUCAGAUAGAUCACAGAGACCUCAGAGGGAAAAUAAAAACCCCUGUUUUGAUUUCUUGUGUAGGGAAUAUGUGUCCUGGUGUUCCUCUGUCUUCAUCCCUGAAGGGUUGGAGUAUGGAGGGAUGGGGUUUUCCACCCCAAAAUCUGAUGAUUGCACAUGGCAGCUACAGCUGAAAGCCAUGCUAAAACAAAUAACAACAGUAUUAAACUGGAGAAAAAUAAGAGUUAGUUUCAAGUUAAAUCGGAGCUUGCAGAGCCUCCUGAACCACGGGCUCAGUCUCCAGCUCUCUGGGGCCCACCCUGUGCAGACUGCUGAAGAAUAACCCCCACUGCCUCCACAAAUUAGCAACAUUUAAAUUAUUCUGAAAGAAAAAAUGGAGUAGUUCAGCAUGUAUAUGAUGAAAAUUUCCCUAUCAAUACCAGACUGAGGUACUGUGAUUUAGGAGAAUCCAUGGACUCAACCCAAAGAAUGUGUUCUAAAAACUCCUAUGACUGAAUUAAGCACUUUCUUUCUCCCUGCUGAGCAAUUUGUACACAUACACCUGGGCACCAUCAGGAGCCCAUUACUGCCCAGAUUACCUAUUAUCCACAGAUCUGCUCAGCAGGUUUUGGAUCACUCACUUUAAUCAGCUUAUUGCAGAAAACCACUUUAGAUCAGUGGAGCAUGUGGAUAUAUCACUCAUGUAGGUGUUUUCUAAUCACAAAAUGCACUUAGACAUAUAGAGCAGCCGUGAGUUCUAAAUAAAUCUGGGAGCAGGAUUCAAUUUACAAGCUAAGGUAGAGCAGAUGAAAUAUAGCAAGCCUUUUCCUCCCCUCUAACAGGUUUUAUUGAAUAUAAAAUCGUUUUCAGAACUGUGCUUUCCUCUCUGCUGCCUCUUAACUCCCAUUCAACCUUUCCCUGUGUUCCUCCUGACUUCCCCCCAGCCACAGAUAUGAAUUCAUUCGUACUUUUCAGAAAUGAGAUCAAAGCUUUCAUAAUUAAGAUCAAACAAUUGCCUACAGUGACACCUGUGAGAGCUGAAGCCUGUUCAAACACACAGGAGGAAAAAAAAAAACCCACACAAAACCCAAAAAGAAGAGGACACAGCAUAUUUAGACCAAGCACACAAGUUCAUUAUUUGUUGGGUAAAUGCUGCAAAAGAGUCUGGAGAAUGAGAUUUUUAAGAAAGAUUGCACUAUCUCCAAAUAAACAACAAAACCCCAGCUAAACAAAAGGAUGGGACUGGCCCUGUGUGUUUCUUUUGUAAGAAUUACUGUAAAAUGAGGGGUUUUCUUUUUAAUGAGACACUUUGCCUUUUAUUCCUGUAAAUGGUCAAAAUCACAGAAACCAGUGACAUCCAGCUGGGAUGUCAAUCCACAUCCAAAGAUGGAAAGGAGAGGAGCCCAGAAGGGCCACCAGUCUCUGCAUUGGCAAUCCACCCUUGUCCUUUUGGGAAAGGAAUCAAGACAACUGAUGGAGCUACAAGACACAGAUUUGAAAGUUCAAAUUUUAAACAGAAAUUUCUGAUUUCGACCUUUCCACAGAUCAAGGCACAGCUUCAGAGAGCCCAUGCACCUCACAUCCCCUCUGCCAGACACUUCUUCUCAGGCUCCAGGCUUUCGGAGACAUUGAAUCGGGAAAUUAAUAACGUGUCUUGGAUAAAACUUAGGCAUUUGAGGAUGAACUCUGAGGCUCAUCAGGGUCCUCACAGGAAGGUGUGACAUUGGUGUCCCACAGCCACUCUGCCCUUCCAGCCUGCUCAGCACCUGCACUGGACACCUGCAGGUUCCAUUUGACACGGUGGUAGCUGAAAAAAACACUCAGCAAUUUUGUGUUGCACUGAGGUGGAAUCAGGACCCUCCUGUGAGGAGGAAAGAGGCUGUGUCAGACAGGCUAAAAAAAGGAAAUGAAGGGAUGACCCACCAGCUGCCCACAAUGUGAGAACAGCUGUCCUUGAAUCAACUCAACACUGCCCAGAGCCCCUUGUCCAGGUGCUCUUCCAGCCUCCAGCCCUCAGCAGCUUGGAGGCUCCCCGGGCUGCCUUUGGUGUGUUCAACAACUUUCGGUGCAUUUCUCUUUCACAGCAUGGCCCUGUGUCCUCUCAAGGUCAUGGAAACUUACCAGAGCCUUGAAGACACUCCACACAUAAUGUAUAGCAACAGAAAAAACACAACAGAAAGCAUACAAUACAAUGAAAAUGUGACAAAAUUGAUUAGAUACCACUGCACAGUCAUUUUCUUUACACAGCUGUCUAAACUGCAGCCCAAGCCAGAUUUUUACCUUCAGUUCUGACAUAUUAGUACACAUCUAAAGUAUAUCCAGAAAAUUUUCUUGUACUGCUCUGGCUCAAAGCAGCAUCCAAACCACAAACAUGAUACUUUUAAUCCACAGAAAGCCUUGAAAACAGUCCCAGUGCUGCACCAUCACUGAAAAAUUCAGAUAGUUUGCCUUUUUGUUGAGUUCCAGCACAGUGCUGUAAAGGAAUUUUUCAUCUUACAUUAAAAGCUUUAAAAGAAAAUGGAACACCAUGCAGGUGGGCAAAUGGGACCUUACUAGGAGAAGGCAGGUGUCAAUCAGAGGAGAAUAAUCAUGGUUCACAUAUGAAGCAGGUAUUGCUGCCUGGGUAAAAAACCCCAGAAAUAGCACUGAAAACGCAGCUGUACCUGGAUCUUCAGGCACUGGUAACAGGUCCACUCAGUGGUCCCCAUGUGAUUUUAUCCACCCUGUGGUACUGGGAAAAAGGGGAAGGGUAAUGCAUAUUUUUCAAGUGCACCUCCUCUCCUGAUGUCUCAAUUGCUUUCUUUUGAAAAGAAAUUAGAAUCAAUAGUAGGUUCAUGGCCCAAAAGCACAGGGAAGACACUGCUGUUAAUUAAGAUCAUGACAGACUGAGCAUUCGGAAUCCUAAUUCUUUCUGAAAUGGUUAUCUUUGCAAAGGAGAGAGAGGAAUGGAAGGUGAAAGACCAAGACACAGGAAUUCCCAUCUAAAAGAGCAGAUCACAGCCUGAGAUAAAAUCUCAUGUUCAGAAUAGGCAGUUCAGAUUGUACAGUGAUGCAAAAAAUUUAAAAGACCUAGUUGUUCAAAGAGUCUUUUUAACAUUCCUUUUAAAGCACUAUUAUAAAUAAAAAUGGUUGCUUGAAAAUUUUCCUAAUAAAUCUGGCAGAACAAAGAUAUUCUUGGUAUCAUUAGGAGAAAAAAAAUCAGAAUUCAGUCUGAAGCACAGGUUUUCAGUUUGAGCUUAGCUUAACUUCUUGUUAAAUAACCAACAUUACUUUUAAAAUAAUUUACCAGCCAGGUUUCCAACCUAUUCUACAUUUUCAUCCUCAGUAUUGUUAAUUGUGAUAAAAAUAUUCAGGG
Prinia subflava (tawny-flanked prinia) is the source of this 5622-nucleotide long non-coding RNA. RefSeq lists it as uncharacterized. NCBI's taxonomy places the organism in Eukaryota, Metazoa, Chordata, Aves, Passeriformes, Cisticolidae. The transcript has 3 exons. The record is from RefSeq and is a predicted model, not a curated record.